Molecule: ribosomal RNA, 415 nt
Filed under: uncultured bacterium
Lineage: Bacteria
Description: partial 16S ribosomal RNA
Rfam family: Bacterial small subunit ribosomal RNA
Source: RNAcentral
UAUUGCACAAUGGGGGAAACCCUGAUGCAGCGACGCCGCGUGAGUGAAGAAGUAUUUCGGUANGUAAAGCUCUAUCAGCAGGGAANNACNNNUNACCAUAGGGUCAGCAGACGGUACUUGACUAAGAAGCNNNGNCNAACUACGUGCCAGCAGCCGCGGUAAUACGUAGGGGGCAAGCGUUAUCCGGAUUUACUGGGUGUAAAGGGAGCGUAGACGGCAGCGCAAGUCUGAAGUGAAAUGCCAGGGCUUAACCCUGGAACUGCUUUGGAAACUGUGCAGCUAGAGUGCAGGAGAGGUAAGUGGAAUUUCUAGUGUAGCGGUGGAAUGCGUAGAUAUUAGGAGGAACACCAGUGGCGAAGGCGGCUUACUGGACUGUAACUGACGUUGAGGCUCGAAAGCGUGGGGAGCAAACAGG